This 252-nucleotide long non-coding RNA is filed under the name Solanum tuberosum (potato). Its description in RNAcentral is "long non-coding RNA (STUB_LNC001864)". The record is from RNAcentral. Lineage: Eukaryota; Viridiplantae; Streptophyta; Magnoliopsida; Solanales; Solanaceae.
ACAAAACAAAAAAUUAAAAUCAGUUUUAGCAACUUGUUAAUCAUAAAUUAUUAAUAGAUUAUACCCAGCCUAUUCAAAAGUGGCUCAAACAAUAAUGAUAGACAUGGAUUACAACCUCUAAAUGCUUUAAAAAUGAAAAUAAUAAAAACACACAAAAGUAAUUAGAAUAUUAGGAAAGAAGUCACCGGUAAGUCGUUCUGGAUUUCUCAUUUUAAGUUUUGUCUUCGAAUGAAGUUUCAUGUUUGGAUCUUC